This 270-nucleotide ribosomal RNA is filed under the name uncultured archaeon. RNAcentral describes it as "partial 16S ribosomal RNA". It matches the Rfam family "Archaeal small subunit ribosomal RNA", at positions 477 to 747 of the family's 1478-position model. The record is from RNAcentral.
CAGCACCUCAAGUGGUCAGGAUGAUUAUUGGGCCUAAAGCAUCCGUAGCCGGCGCUGUAAGUUUUCGGUUAAAUCUGUACGCUCAACGUACAGGCUGCCGGGAAUACUGCAGCGCUAGGGAGUGGGAGAGGUAGACGGUACUCGGUAGGAAGGGGUAAAAUCCUUUGAUCUAUUGAUGACCACCUGUGGCGAAGGCGUCUGACCAGAACACGUCCGACGGUGAGGGAUGAAAGCUGGGGGAGCAAACCGGAUUAGAUACCCGAGUAGUCC